CAGAGAUGACACCAAGGAAACACCACCACAAGGAAAGAAGUCACCUUCUCCAGCAGUUUAAAGGACGGACUUUACCCUGAAGAAGUGUGUAGUCUCUCUGAUUAAGUGGUUCUCAACAGUUCAACAGUUCUUAGAGAAAAUUGUGAAAUGUUUAGGACCACUUGACCAGUAAGAUGAAUGCUGCCGCCUUUGGAAAAUGCUGCAUUUGAAUGGACCUGUAAAAACAUCUCAGAAGACCUGACUUUUGGUGAUUUUAGAGCAACUCUGUGAUUUCCUCUGCCUUUCUGCUUCCUUUAUGUCCCUCUCUGUCUUCCUCUCUCAUUGUGCCCCCUUGUGUUACAAUGACAACUGCAGUCCAGGAAUUGUGGGGGCUGUAAAAAUCAUCAGGCUUCAGUAAUUUCAGCCUGCUGGCACAGACGCAAAUUUUUAACAGCCCUGCUGAUGCAGUAACAUCAUCUUUUUUUCCCUGUUUUACUGUUGCUACUAUUCAGAGGUACUGAUUAAAACAAGUCAAUAAAGAA
Lates calcarifer (barramundi perch) is the source of this 521-nucleotide long non-coding RNA. RefSeq lists it as uncharacterized. The transcript has 2 exons. Lineage: Eukaryota; Metazoa; Chordata; Actinopteri; Centropomidae. The record is from RefSeq and is a predicted model, not a curated record.